CAGUCGCCGCGGUAAAACGAAGGGUGCAAGCGUUAAUCGGAAUUACAGGGCGUAAAGCGUGCGUAGGCGGUUUGUUAAGUCUGUUGUGAAAUCCCCGGGCUCAACCCGAAGUCUGCACGGGAAACUACUGGGCUUGAGUAAUGGAGAGGUGAGUGGAAUUUCCGGUGUAGCGGUGAAAUUCGUAGAUAUUCGGAGGAACACCAGUGGCGAAGGCGGCUCACUGGCUCGGUACUGGCGCUGAGGUGCGAAAGCGUGGGGAGCAAACAGGAUUAGAUACCCGCGUAGUCCCUGUCUCUUAUAC
Molecule: ribosomal RNA, 301 nt
Filed under: uncultured bacterium
Lineage: Bacteria
Description: partial 16S ribosomal RNA
Rfam family: Bacterial small subunit ribosomal RNA
Source: RNAcentral